GUGGCGGCAGCUACAAUGCAGUCGAACGGUAGCACAGAGAGCUUGCUCUCGGGUGACGAGUGGCGGACGGGUGAGUAAUGUCUGGGAAACUGCCUGAUGGAGGGGGAUAACUACUGGAAACGGUAGCUAAUACCGCAUAACGUCGCAAGACCAAAGAGGGGGACCUUCGGGCCUCUUGCCAUCAGAUGUGCCCAGAUGGGAUUAGCUAGUAGGUGGGGUAACGGCUCACCUAGGCGACGAUCCCUAGCUGGUCUGAGAGGAUGACCAGCCACACUGGAACUGAGACACGGUCCAGACUCCUACGGGAGGCAGCAGUGGGGAAUAUUGCACAAUGGGCGCAAGCCUGAUGCAGCCAUGCCGCGUGUAUGAAGAAGGCCUUCGGGUUGUAAAGUACUUUCAGCGGGGAGGAAGGUGUUGUGGUUAAUAACCACAGCAAUUGACGUUACCCGCAGAAGAAGCACCGGCUAACUCCGUGCCAGCAGCCGCGGUAAUACGGAGGGUGCAAGCGUUAAUCGGAAUUACUGGGCGUAAAGCGCACGCAGGCGGUCUGUCAAGUCGGAUGUGAAAUCCCCGGGCUCAACCUGGGAACUGCAUUCGAAACUGGCAGGCUGGAGUCUUGUAGAGGGGGGUAGAAUUCCAGGUGUAGCGGUGAAAUGCGUAGAGAUCUGGAGGAAUACCGGUGGCGAAGGCGGCCCCCUGGACAAAGACUGACGCUCAGGUGCGAAAGCGUGGGGAGCAAACAGGAUUA
RNAcentral lists this ribosomal RNA (748 nucleotides) under Leclercia adecarboxylata. RNAcentral's name for it is "bacterial SSU rRNA". It matches the Rfam family "Bacterial small subunit ribosomal RNA", at positions 36 to 780 of the family's 1533-position model. Lineage: Bacteria; Pseudomonadati; Pseudomonadota; Gammaproteobacteria; Enterobacterales; Enterobacteriaceae. The record is from RNAcentral.